RNAcentral lists this ribosomal RNA (212 nucleotides) under uncultured eukaryote. Its description in RNAcentral is "partial 18S ribosomal RNA". It matches the Rfam family "Eukaryotic small subunit ribosomal RNA", at positions 1461 to 1672 of the family's 1831-position model. The record is from RNAcentral.
UCUGUGAUGCCCUUAGAUGUUCUGGGGCAACUCUGUUCUCCAGGGGGGGCUGCUCAAUACUUCAGAUCCUGGUCCGAAAGGACUGGGGAAACUGCCAAGACUCGUCGUGAUGGGGAUAGACUAUUGUAAUUAUUAGUCUUCAACGAGGAAUUCCUAGUAAGCGCGAGUCAUCAGCUCGCGUUGAUUACGUCCCUGCCCUUUGUACACACCGC